Molecule: RNA transcript, 787 nt
Organism: Fragaria vesca subsp. vesca
Lineage: Eukaryota; Viridiplantae; Streptophyta; Magnoliopsida; Rosales; Rosaceae
Exons: 2
Source: RefSeq, a predicted model, not a curated record
GAGACAGACGCUGACUUGACCCUUGAAUCCAACGACUUGUCGUCCCAACCCCACACGUUUAACCGUCUCCUCCGCCCACCUGGUAAUUUCGCCUGUUGAAUCAGGUAAAUUGAAUCCUUCAUUUCAACUGGGAUUCAUGCAUUCCUAGCCCCAAUUAGUCAAAACCAGAAAUUCCCAGACCUCAAACUUUCACACAUGGCGGAGCCACCAAAUGAAAACCACAUCAGGCGCUUCAAGUUCCUGUGGCGAGUCCUCAUGAUCUCCAAUCUCGCUCUCGGAGGUUACAUGUUUAUUGGGGCUAAGAAGAGAGACACAGGAUUCAUGAAUAAGAAGAAAGCCAAGGAAAUUGGCAUUAAAAAGCACAAAGCUGUAGUUGAUGAAGUGCCCUCUUCUCCUCCAGCUCCUCCUCCCACAACUACUACAAGUUCGGAGACAUGGGAUUUGUGAAGGUGUAGCUUCCUAUCCCUGAAGACCAGCAACACGAACUUGUACGGUGGAUGCUGGAGUGUAAAAGAAAGUUAAAUAUCCAGGAUCUUGAAGAAGAAACGAAAUUAUGAAAGAAAAAUCAAGCUUUAAUCAUUUUUUUCCUGUGCAAAACCUGUACCAAGCUUUUAAUUGGUGCUGCUGUUUACUGACAGAAUUCUACACAGAGAGAUGUUGUUUCAAAGUAUAGACCACAGAACUUAGAUUUUUGGGAAACGAAUAUUGAAGUAGGUUAAUUUUCAGUGACUUUGUAAUCAUGUUAGUUUUGACUUCAUGAAAUAUUUGCAGCAGAUUAACAUGUGGA